Molecule: ribosomal RNA, 413 nt
Filed under: uncultured bacterium
Lineage: Bacteria
Description: bacterial SSU rRNA
Rfam family: Bacterial small subunit ribosomal RNA
Source: RNAcentral
CUGCAAGUCGAACGCGUCUUGGGGGCAACUCCAAGAUGAGUGGCGAACGGGUGAGUAACACGUGGGUAAUCUCCCCCCGAGUGAGGAAUAAGCCCGCGAAAGCGGGUCUAAUACUGCAUAACACCCCGGGGCAUAAGCUUCCGGGGUCAAAGCCGUAAGGCGCUUGGGGAUGAGCCUGCGUCCUAUUAGCUAGUUGGUAGGGUAACGGCCUACCAAGGUUAUGAUGGGUAGCCGGCCUGAGAGGGUGUUCGGCCACACUGGGACUGAGACACGGCCCAGACUCCUACGGGAGGCAGCAGUGAGGAAUCUUGCGCAAUGGGCGAAAGCCUGACGCAGCGACGCCGCGUGGAGGAAGACGGCCUUCGGGUUGUAAACUCCUGUCAGAGGUGAAGAAUCCCCGCAAGGGGUUGACG